RNAcentral lists this ribosomal RNA (129 nucleotides) under Colletotrichum tofieldiae. RNAcentral describes it as "partial 18S ribosomal RNA". It matches the Rfam family "Eukaryotic small subunit ribosomal RNA", at positions 1705 to 1831 of the family's 1831-position model. Lineage: Eukaryota; Fungi; Ascomycota; Sordariomycetes; Glomerellales; Glomerellaceae. The record is from RNAcentral.
GGCUUUCGGACUGGCCCAGAGAGGUGGGCAACUACCACUCAGGGCCGGAAAGUUAUCCAAACUCGGUCAUUUAGAGGAAGUAAAAGUCGUAACAAGGUCUCCGUUGGUGAACCAGCGGAGGGAUCAUUA